AGCAGCCGCGGUAAUUCCAGCUCCAAUAGCGUAUAUUAAAGUUGUUGCAGUUAAAAAGCUCGUAGUUGAAUUUCGGGAUCAAUAUAUCGGUCGUGCCUUGGUACGUACUGGUAUCAUUGGUUUCUCCUUUCUGACGAACCAUGAUGUCAUUAAUUUGGUGUUAUGGGAAGUUAGGACUGUUACUUUGAAAAAAUUAGAGUGUUUAAAGCAGGCUUUAGCUUGAAUACAUUAGCAUGGAAUAAUGAAAUAGGACGUUCGAACCUAUUUUGUUGGUUUCUAGGAUCAACGUAAUGAUUAAUAGGGAUAGUUGGGGGCAUUAGUAUUCAAUUGUCAGAGGUGAAAUUCUUGGAUUUAUUGAAGACUAACUACUGCGAAAGCAUUUGUCAAGGAUGUUUUCAUUAAUCAAGAACGAAAGUUAGGGGAUCGAAGACGAUCAGAUACCGUCGUAGUCUUAACCAUAAACUAUGCCGACUAGGGAUCGGAUGAUGUUAAUUUUUUAAUGACUCAUUCGGCGCCUUACG
Molecule: ribosomal RNA, 521 nt
Filed under: uncultured Glomus
Lineage: Eukaryota; Fungi; Glomeromycota; Glomeromycetes; Glomerales; Glomeraceae
Description: SSU rRNA
Rfam family: Eukaryotic small subunit ribosomal RNA
Source: RNAcentral